AGAGUUUGAUCCUGGCUCAGGAUGAACGCUGGCGGCGUGCCUAAUACAUGCAAGUCGAGCGAACGGACGAGAAGCUUGCUUCUCUGAUGUUAGCGGCGGACGGGUGAGUAACACGUGGAUAACCUACCUAUAAGACUGGGAUAACUUCGGGAAACCGGAGCUAAUACCGGAUAAUAUUUUGAACCGCAUGGUUCAAAAGUGAAAGACGGUCUUGCUGUCACUUAUAGAUGGAUCCGCGCUGCAUUAGCUAGUUGGUAAGGUAACGGCUUACCAAGGCAACGAUGCAUAGCCGACCUGAGAGGGUGAUCGGCCACACUGGAACUGAGACACGGUCCAGACUCCUACGGGAGGCAGCAGUAGGGAAUCUUCCGCAAUGGGCGAAAGCCUGACGGAGCAACGCCGCGUGAGUGAUGAAGGUCUUCGGAUCGUAAAACUCUGUUAUUAGGGAAGAACAUAUGUGUAAGUAACUGUGCACAUCUUGACGGUACCUAAUCAGAAAGCCACGGCUAACUACGUGCCAGCAGCCGCGGUAAUACGUAGGUGGCAAGCGUUAUCCGGAAUUAUUGGGCGUAAAGCGCGCGUAGGCGGUUUUUUAAGUCUGAUGUGAAAGCCCACGGCUCAACCGUGGAGGGUCAUUGGAAACUGGAAAACUUGAGUGCAGAAGAGGAAAGUGGAAUUCCAUGUGUAGCGGUGAAAUGCGCAGAGAUAUGGAGGAACACCAGUGGCGAAGGCGACUUUCUGGUCUGUAACUGACGCUGAUGUGCGAAAGCGUGGGGAUCAAACAGGAUUAGAUACCCUGGUAGUCCACGCCGUAAACGAUGAGUGCUAAGUGUUAGGGGGUUUCCGCCCCUUAGUGCUGCAGCUAACGCAUUAAGCACUCCGCCUGGGGAGUACGACCGCAAGGUUGAAACUCAAAGGAAUUGACGGGGACCCGCACAAGCGGUGGAGCAUGUGGUUUAAUUCGAAGCAACGCGAAGAACCUUACCAAAUCUUGACAUCCUUUGACAACUCUAGAGAUAGAGCCUUCCCCUUCGGGGGACAAAGUGACAGG
This 1051-nucleotide ribosomal RNA is filed under the name Staphylococcus aureus M1242. RNAcentral describes it as "bacterial SSU rRNA". It matches the Rfam family "Bacterial small subunit ribosomal RNA", at positions 8 to 1038 of the family's 1533-position model. RNAcentral also lists the same sequence under 13 other names. Lineage: Bacteria; Bacillati; Bacillota; Bacilli; Caryophanales; Staphylococcaceae. The record is from RNAcentral.